Transfer RNA from Ovis aries (sheep), 72 nucleotides. It matches the Rfam family "tRNA". From Rfam's summary of the family: Transfer RNA (tRNA) molecules are approximately 80 nucleotides in length. Their secondary structure includes four short double-helical elements and three loops (D, anti-codon, and T loops). Further hydrogen bonds mediate the characteristic L-shaped molecular structure. tRNAs have two regions of fundamental functional importance: the anti-codon, which is responsible for specific mRNA codon recognition, and the 3' end, to which the tRNAs corresponding amino acid is attached (by aminoacyl-tRNA synthetases). tRNAs cope with the degeneracy of the genetic code in two manners: having more than one tRNA (with a specific anti-codon) for a particular amino acid; and 'wobble' base-pairing, i.e. permitting non-standard base-pairing at the 3rd anti-codon position. The record is from Rfam. Lineage: Eukaryota; Metazoa; Chordata; Mammalia; Artiodactyla; Bovidae.
UCCCUGAUGGUACAAUGGUUAGGACGUGGCACUUUCACUGCCAGGGCCAGGGUUCAAUCCCUGGUUGGGGAA